UUUCAGCUUCUCCCUCCCAAAGUCGAACUGGAAGGAGACCCAAAAUCCAAAUCCAAGCCCUUCAUCUCUGUCAUCAUGCCGCACGUUCACCGAAUGUGUCGCCAUAGCAGACCAACCAAACAGGUCGACAUCCGAGUAGAAGUGGGAGAAAUGGGUAAAGAAAAAAAUUGUGUCUCCGACAAUUGAAACCUCAGAAAUCAAAAGCUCAAAAUCCCUGUUUCCUUCCAUCUCCGGUUCAUCGAACGUGGAGCCAUAGCAGACCGCAGUGGCGAGAAAUUUCUGUCUAAAGCAAUACAGUGACUAUAAUGUCUCUAGGAGCACGGCAGGGGAAGGUGCUAGAAAGUAGAAAUGGGGGUGGAGAUCCAAGACCAUUAUGACGCGACCAAGGAAAUAGAGAAGAGUCUACUGGAGCUUCACCAGAUGUUUCUCGACAUGGCAGUAAUGGUUGAGGCACAAGGGAGAUUUUUUCUACCCUGCAAAUGAGUGGGAUGAACUGGGAUCCAAUGAGAUUUUUUCCUUAUAAAAAAAUGAGGGUUAAUCCAAACCGGUCCAGUCCACUGUGCAAAGCUUCCCUCCAAAAAAAUUAUGUCACGCCAGAUUUUUCAAAUCCCUGUUUUCUACCCUGUAUUUUAACCUGUCCAAGUAGCAUUUAUGAAAAUUUACAUCUCUUCUCUCUCUUAAAAGAGAGGCUUUGGGGGUGUGCUGUUCAUUCAUGUCACACGACAUUUCACGCCUAGCUGGUUCCACUUUUCAUGAACAGGUUUAACUGUUCACAAGAUAUCUGGAGAUUAUUGCUUUGAUUUCUUGCAAUGCCUCUAUUUCUCUUCUCGCAAAGCAAACCCUUGUUUUUCCUCCCUCAUUGUGACGAUAAUCAACACGUAUUUGAUUCAAACUGGUUUUUCUACAAUGGCUUUACGUAUAUCACUGUUGAUAGCCAUUUCCCUAACCCAAUUUGGUUCGUUCUUUCAAAUCUAAGAAAAAUUUCCCCCCCAAAUGCUCUGCAAAAUUGGAAUUCUCGGAAGAUCCACAAAGGGAAGAACAACAGUCGACAUUUGAAUGGAUGGGUUAGCCAUCAUCACCAUCAACACCAAACGCUGCUAUCGCUUUCUCUUCAACUAUCUUUAGAGACCAUCUCGAUUUAACUGUUGUUCAUGGGCUCAAAUCCAAAGCCAGAGGCAAGAUUUGGAAUUGGUCUAACACACGAAGAUCAGAAUCAUCAAAGCAACUAGAGGAGCUAAAGAGGAAGGCAAGAGUGGAGAGGUUUUUUAGCAUUGCCCAUUUCUGUUUCACAACUUGCAAUUUUCACUGGAUUUCUUGGUUUGACACUUUAGCUAUCUUCUAAAAUUUGUGAUUUGUCCAGUCUGCAUUUGUAGACAAGAAAGCAAGGAAAAAAGCUAGGCUUCCAUGGUUUGGAUCGGUUACCAAGGUCGAUUCAGCGGAGGACAAUAAGAAGAAAGCAAGAACAAUCAGGUCCUCGCAACGACAUUCUGGUUCCCUGUGAGUGGCAAAUGAUAAUGGAAACACAGAAUUCUUAAGUUAUUGCAAACCCCUUAUUUUAGGUUCCAGAUGAUAAUAUUCUUCUAUUCAUUCUUUUUCUGUAUUGAUUUCUUCUUGCAAACUUCAAAAAACAACUAUUGCAAGAAAGGCUGAUCGAGUGACCUAUUUAACUUGAAGCCUCCAUUAAAAUGCUGCAUCAUCUACACCAUUGAGAUUUGACGAAAAGACACUCGAUUCUUACAAUUCUUUGCAUGUGGAUGCCACAACACUGAGCCGUUUAUCUCCAAUUGAAUCGAAAAUCGGUGACAUACAGUUUCAAAUGUCAAAAUUCCUGGAUUUCAAGUCUGGAACACUGGCCAUAGUGCUCUCGCUGAAGAUGAAACUGGAACACAAGGUGGAACAUAGGUCAUACUACUCCGGCCCUAGAUGAAGCAAGAACUCACGGUUGGAACACAGAUUUUAGUACUCUUGUUCUAGAUGAAGUUGGAAGCCUGGAACACAAAGCUAGACACAGGUUGUAGUACUCCAGCUGAAGAUGAAGCUGGAAUUCAAGGCUGGAACACAGGCUGUACUGUAUUCAAUUGAAGGAAUCUGACCUUCACCAAGUAAUUGCUGGUAUAAUUGUACAUUAUAUGAUAUAGCCGGGGAAGACAACAACUCAUCUUAAGAAGGUUUAAUAAAUUUAUGUAUGCAUAUCCUUGUCUAUUAUCAUUUUGGUCAUGUUAAAUCCGAUUACUUUCAUGUAUAAAGAAAAGAAAAUUUUUUAUCCAUUAUUGAUACUGCACUA
Molecule: long non-coding RNA, 2284 nt
Organism: Olea europaea var. sylvestris
Lineage: Eukaryota; Viridiplantae; Streptophyta; Magnoliopsida; Lamiales; Oleaceae
Exons: 6
Source: RefSeq, a predicted model, not a curated record